GGGGCAUCCGGGGGGAGGGCUUUGGGUCACCUCCCACCCGUGUUUAUUUUACCUUGUUGCUUCGGCGGGCCCGCCUUUACUGGCCGCCGGGGGGCUCACGCCCCCGGGCCCGCGCCCGCCGAAGACACCCCCGAACUCUGUCUGAAGAUUGAAGUCUGAGUGAAAAUAUAAAUUAUUUAAAACUUUCAACAACGGAUCUCUUGGUUCCGGCAUCGAUGAAGAACGCAGCGAAAUGCGAUACGUAAUGUGAAUUGCAAAUUCAGUGAAUCAUCGAGUCUUUGAACGCACAUUGCGCCCCCUGGUAUUCCGGGGGGCAUGCCUGUCCGAGCGUCAUUGCUGCCCUCAAGCCCGGCUUGUGUGUUGGGCCCCGUCCUCCGAUUCCGGGGGACGGGCCCGAAAGGCAGCGGCGGCACCGCGUCCGGUCCUCGAGCGUAUGGGGCUUUGUCACCCGCUCUGUAGGCCCGGCCGGCGCUUGCCGAUCAACCCAAAUUUUUAUCCAGGUUGACCUCGGAUCAGGUAGGGAUACCCGCUGAACUUAAGCAUAUCAAUAAGGCCGGAGGAA
Molecule: ribosomal RNA, 562 nt
Filed under: Penicillium polonicum
Lineage: Eukaryota; Fungi; Ascomycota; Eurotiomycetes; Eurotiales; Aspergillaceae
Description: eukaryotic LSU rRNA
Rfam family: 5.8S ribosomal RNA (bases 181-333)
Source: RNAcentral